RNAcentral lists this antisense RNA (75 nucleotides) under Streptomyces scopuliridis RB72. RNAcentral describes it as "ASpks TB sRNA". It matches the Rfam family "ASpks TB sRNA". The record is from Rfam by way of RNAcentral. Lineage: Bacteria; Bacillati; Actinomycetota; Actinomycetes; Kitasatosporales; Streptomycetaceae.
CUUGAGGGAGCCGAGCCGCAGCGGGCUCCCGGAGGUACGGUCGCGUCCGUAGGUGGCGAGCAGCGCCUGCGCCUC